CCUACGGGUGGCAGCAGUGAGGAAUAUUGGUCAAUGGACGAGAGUCUGAACCAGCCAAGUAGCGUGAAGGAUGACUGCCCUAUGGGUUGUAAACUUCUUUUAUAUGGGAAUAAAAUGUUCCACGUGUGGGUUUUUGUAUGUACCAUAUGAAUAAGGAUCGGCUAACUCCGUGCCAGCAGCCGCGGUAAUACGGAGGAUCCGAGCGUUAUCCGGAUUUAUUGGGUUUAAAGGGAGCGUAGGUGGAUUGUUAAGUCAGUUGUGAAAGUUUGGGGCUCAACCGUAACAUUGCAGUUGAAACUGGCAGUCUUGAGUACACGAGAGGUAGGCGGAAUUCGUGGUGUAGCGGUGAAAUGCUUAGAUAUCACGAAGAACUCCGAUUGCGAAGGCAGCUGACUGGAGUGCAACUGACACUGAGGCUCGAAAGUGUGGGUAUCGAACAGGAUUAGAUACCCGAGUAGUC
This 460-nucleotide ribosomal RNA is filed under the name uncultured bacterium. RNAcentral describes it as "partial 16S ribosomal RNA". It matches the Rfam family "Bacterial small subunit ribosomal RNA", at positions 338 to 795 of the family's 1533-position model. The record is from RNAcentral.